Molecule: small RNA, 293 nt
Filed under: Dothideomycetidae sp. 11243
Lineage: Eukaryota; Fungi; Ascomycota; Dothideomycetes
Description: fungal sp. No.11243 5' ureB small RNA
Rfam family: 5' ureB small RNA
Source: Rfam by way of RNAcentral
CCUCAUAAGCUUGCUGCGGACAGAUGAAGUGAAUGUGACUGUCGAAUCCACCGUAAGUAACAAUGCUUCCUUCACCAGCGAUCACAUCGGUCGUCGAACCAACCACAAGAUUGGGAUGUACACCCUCCAUCACGUCAGGAUUACCGGCUUUGCCGACCGCAACGAUAAGACCAUCUUUGAUGCCGAUAUCGCCUUUGAUUAUACCGGUGUAGUCCACAAUGAGAGCAUUAGUGAUGACGGUAUCUAGGCUAGUCGAGCCAGAUCUUCCGCUGGCUUGACCCAUGCCGUCUCGG